This 366-nucleotide ribosomal RNA is filed under the name uncultured bacterium. RNAcentral's name for it is "bacterial SSU rRNA". It matches the Rfam family "Bacterial small subunit ribosomal RNA", at positions 30 to 396 of the family's 1533-position model. The record is from RNAcentral.
AUUGAACGCUGGCGGCAUGCCUUACACAUGCAAGUCGAACGGCAGCACGGGAGCAAUCCUGGUGGCGAGUGGCGAACGGGUGAGUAAUAUAUCGGAACGUGCCCGGUCGUGGGGAUAACGUAGCGAAAGCUACGCUAAUACCGCAUACGAUCUACGGAUGAAAGCGGGGGAUCGCAAGACCUCGCGCGAUUGGAGCGGCCGAUAUCAGAUUAGGUAGUUGGUGAGGUAAAGGCUCACCAAGCCGACGAUCUGUAGCUGGUCUGAGAGGGCGACCAGCCACACUGGGACUGAGACACGGCCCAGACUCCUACGGGAGGCAGCAGUGGGGGAAUUUUGGACAAUGGGCGCAAGCCUGAUCCAGCAAUG